UUGUCAUGAUACAUGAGAUGUAUGAAUGAAGUUUAGAUCAUACCUAUGUAUAUUUAAUUGUUAAAUAUAUUUUAAAAAUUUAUUUUCAUAUGUUGAAACAUAUGGUAUGCUUCACUUGAAAUCCUUGUAGAAUAGUUCUACAAACUGAAACACACGUUUUACAUAUUUAAUUUUGAAUUAAAUUUGAAUGAUCUAGAAUUGAGAAUUGAAGAUCAUUAAGACACCGCAUAAUAUGAUGAGCA
This 242-nucleotide long non-coding RNA is filed under the name Elaeis guineensis (African oil palm). RNAcentral describes it as "long non-coding RNA (EGUI_LNC054937)". The record is from RNAcentral. Lineage: Eukaryota; Viridiplantae; Streptophyta; Magnoliopsida; Arecales; Arecaceae.